GGUUUGCGGCAGCUUACCAUGCAGUCGAGCGCCCCGCAAGGGGAGCGGCAGACGGGUGAGUAACGCGUGGGAACGUACCUUUUGCUACGGAAUAACUCAGGGAAACUUGUGCUAAUACCGUAUGUGCCCUUCGGGGGAAAGAUUUAUCGGCAAAGGAUCGGCCCGCGUUGGAUUAGCUAGUUGGUGAGGUAAAGGCUCACCAAGGCGACGAUCCAUAGCUGGUCUGAGAGGAUGAUCAGCCACACUGGGACUGAGACACGGCCCAGACUCCUACGGGAGGCAGCAGUGGGGAAUAUUGGACAAUGGGCGCAAGCCUGAUCCAGCCAUGCCGCGUGAGUGAUGAAGGCCCUAGGGUUGUAAAGCUCUUUCACCGGUGAAGAUAAUGACGGUAACCGGAGAAGAAGCCCCGGCUAACUUCGUGCCAGCAGCCGCGGUAAUACGAAGGGGGCUAGCGUUGUUCGGAUUUACUGGGCGUAAAGCGCACGUAGGCGGCCUUGUAAGUCAGGGGUGAAAUCCCACGGCUCAACCGUGGAACUGCCUUUGAAACUGCAGGGCUUGAAUCCUGGAGAGGGUGGCGGAAUUCCUGGUGUAGGAGUGAAAUCCGUAGAUAUCAGGAGGAACACCGGUGGCGAAGGCGGCCACCUGGACAGGUAUUGACGCUGAGGUGCGAAAGUGUGGGGAGCAAACAGGAUUAGAUACCCUGGUAGUCCACACCGUAAACGAUGGAUACUAGGUGUCGGGGACUUGAUCUUCGGUGCCGUAGCUAACGCGUUAAGUAUCCCGCCUGGGGAGUACGGUCGCAAGGCUGAACUCAAAGAAA
RNAcentral lists this ribosomal RNA (820 nucleotides) under uncultured Ochrobactrum sp. RNAcentral's name for it is "bacterial SSU rRNA". It matches the Rfam family "Bacterial small subunit ribosomal RNA", at positions 34 to 909 of the family's 1533-position model. Lineage: Bacteria; Pseudomonadati; Pseudomonadota; Alphaproteobacteria; Hyphomicrobiales; Brucellaceae. The record is from RNAcentral.